AAAAUUUUAUUAGAUGAAUCGUUUGUUUCAUCGCCUGUAUUAAAUGUUAAAAGAAUCAACAGUUGAAAGCAAAUUCAAUAUUAACAACAAUAAAAUUAAUUUAAUCAAAUUUGCCAAUUUCACAAACAAAAGGAAAUUUAAUCUCACCUAUGAACAAGAAAAUAGAUGGACGCAGAUAAUUUUAGCGAAAAACUACUAGGGGACAUUUUAGCGCAGACAUUAGAGCCCAUUUUAGCGCAGGAUUAAUCCGUUCAGCUGUAUUUUCGAUAGCCUAUUUUAGCGAAAACUUUCCUAGUUGAAUAAUACUAAAACCACGAG
RNAcentral lists this long non-coding RNA (318 nucleotides) under Mytilus galloprovincialis (Mediterranean mussel). Lineage: Eukaryota; Metazoa; Mollusca; Bivalvia; Mytilida; Mytilidae. The record is from RNAcentral.